This 543-nucleotide ribosomal RNA is filed under the name uncultured bacterium. RNAcentral's name for it is "bacterial SSU rRNA". It matches the Rfam family "Bacterial small subunit ribosomal RNA", at positions 355 to 896 of the family's 1533-position model. The record is from RNAcentral.
UGAGGAAUAUUGGUCAAUGGGCGAGAGCCUGAACCAGCCAAGUAGCGUGCAGGAUGACGGCCCUAUGGGUUGUAAACUGCUUUUAUGUGGGGAUAAAGUGAGCUACGUGUAGUUUAUUGCAGGUACCACAUGAAUAAGGACCGGCUAAUUCCGUGCCAGCAGCCGCGGUAAUACGGAAGGUCCAGGCGUUAUCCGGAUUUAUUGGGUUUAAAGGGAGCGUAGGCCGUGGAUUAAGCGUGUUGUGAAAUGUAGACGCUCAACGUCUGAAUUGCAGCGCGAACUGGUUCACUUGAGUAUGCACAACGUAGGCGGAAUUCGUCGUGUAGCGGUGAAAUGCUUAGAUAUGACGAAGAACUCCGAUUGCGAAGGCAGCUUACGGGAGCACAACUGACGCUGAAGCUCGAAGGUGCGGGUAUCAAACAGGAUUAGAUACCCUGGUAGUCCGCACAGUAAACGAUGGAUGCCCGUUGUUAGUUCACUUAAGAAUUAGCGACCAAGCGAAAGCAUUAAGCAUCCCACCUGGGGAGUACGCCGGCAACGGUG